CCCCUCUUCCAGCACAUUUCAUCUUCUGGCUUCGUCUGUUAAUCUCCACUUUCUUUAAUUACUUGCUUUGUCUGGCAAGACAAAUUAUUUCCUUUUAUUUUUUCAGUUACAUUCACUCACCACAGGAGGGCACUUUCAGGGAUCUGUCCCUACCCUAGCUCGGAUGGCAAGCUUAGCCGUUUCAGCAGCUAGCAGUCUGUGUCUUCCGAACCAGAAACAGGCGGAGGGUUGCCCUUUUUCACGGCGUUCCACUCGCCAGAUAUCUUCAGUAUCCUUCACUGAUGUGGAUUCUUUACCUCUAGUACCUCGUCGCCACUGUAGUAUUUGUGGAGACAUAAUAACACACGCAGACACUGAGCCAAGACAAACCCGACAACUGCACGCACCUGUUUGUCACCCUGGACCUCGGAGCCGCCCUGCACCUAGAUUCCACGCCAACCCACAGCCACUCGGCCCACCCCCCUGACACUGUUGUUAUACCUACUGCCAUGAUGAAUGAAGCCCAGUCAAUGUCAUUGUCAUUUAUGCUUGAAACCAUCUCAUAUAUAAUAAAAUAGAAAUUAAUUA
Esox lucius (northern pike) is the source of this 567-nucleotide long non-coding RNA. The record is from Ensembl. NCBI's taxonomy places the organism in Eukaryota, Metazoa, Chordata, Actinopteri, Esociformes, Esocidae.